GAUCACAUCGCGAAGAAUCUUCGAAGUGCGCGUUCGCUUGCUUAAGAAAUCUUCGGAAGUCGCGGAAGACACGCGCUAGAUGCGGACUGUUGAUGAGGUUUUUUUAUUUGAGUUUUAUUUUUGAUAUUCGUUCGUCGGAAUUUUAAGCACGGACUUGGUUUUUUAUUGCUUGGUGGUGAACUUUUCUGAGUUGUGAUUCGGUGGGAUGGUAGCGGGGAAGUUGAGAGUUGCUGAUGAAAAUGACUUGUGGCUGAGAGACCUCAUCGACUAGAUGGAAAUAAGAACGAAUGCUCCAAAAGCGUCAUGGCUUCCUCAGACGCUCUUUGCAUUUGUUUUUCUGGUAGAUUCUCUGGAACCUUCUCUGCUGAUAACGAGACACAACAGUGGGGAUAUCUUUGCUCAGGUACCAGAUGUACCUACACGAUGCAUAGAAGAAACAUGUGUCGGAAUGAGCAGCGGGACCGCCAUAGCUAUAUCCACCAGAGAUCUCUGCACGUGUCGGUGCCACUCUCAUCUUCCUGCAUUCAGAGAGGACCUGGGGAUCUGUGUAGAUGACA
This is a long non-coding RNA of Leptinotarsa decemlineata (Colorado potato beetle), 557 nucleotides long. The record is from RefSeq and is a predicted model, not a curated record. Lineage: Eukaryota; Metazoa; Arthropoda; Insecta; Coleoptera; Chrysomelidae.